RNAcentral lists this transfer-messenger RNA (373 nucleotides) under Chitinophagaceae. Its description in RNAcentral is "Ferruginibacter sp014379905 Standard tmRNA". It matches the Rfam family "transfer-messenger RNA". Rfam says of the family: Bacterial tmRNA, also known as 10Sa RNA or SsrA, is named for its dual tRNA and mRNA-like properties. Its role is to liberate the mRNA from a stalled ribosome. RNAcentral also lists the same sequence under 1 other name. The record is from RNAcentral. Lineage: Bacteria; Pseudomonadati; Bacteroidota; Chitinophagia; Chitinophagales.
GGGGCCGUUUUGGUUUUGACAGCAAAGAUCUUUGCAGGUGUAAGCAUGUACAGCGUUGCGUAAUUAGCUGUUUAAUCUGAAUACGAAAACUUUAAAUGGCAAUACUCAGUAUGCCAUGGCUGCCUAAUUAUUAAUUAGACAACCAUUAGGGCCGCCGCACAGGAUUUCCUGUUUCCAAGUGCCGCCGCCGACAUCAAAAAAUUACAGGAUGCUGUGCUGGAAUGAUGUGACCAGCGCUUAAGAACAUUCUUCUAAGGAUUUAGUUGGUUUGUUAUGUUCCUGCUUUUUCCCGACAAUUAAUUCAUAAAUAAACAUGUAGAAAGCUUGCGGCGAAUUUGUUUGGACACCGGUUCGAGUCCGGUCGGCUCCACUU